This is a long non-coding RNA of Monodelphis domestica (gray short-tailed opossum), 1754 nucleotides long. The record is from Ensembl. Lineage: Eukaryota; Metazoa; Chordata; Mammalia; Didelphimorphia; Didelphidae.
GGUUCCUGUAUACCUUCCAUUAAAUGAUGCCCAUCUGUGAUCACCACAUGGUGAUGGUGCUGGAAGGUUUUAGAUUCUACAGUCUCUACGUGAAAACUAUGGAAUGCUUCAAUACUGCUCCAAGAAGGUUGGAACUACUAGAUGUUUUUAUAAUGCAGUUCACAGGGAUUUUGUGACUUACCAUCUUUUUCAUAUGAAGGCAAAUGGAGGGAGAAGAAAUGGAAGCAGCGUCAGAUUUAAAUUCUUGGCCUCAAAGAUGGCUGCAGAUGAUAACUACACUCAUGAAAUUAAAAGACACUUUCUUCUUGGAAAGAAAAAAACUAUGGCAAAUCAGGGCAGCAUACUAAAAAGCAGAGACAUCACCUUGCUGGCAAAGAUCAAAACUAUGUGUUGCAGUUUUUGUUUUUCCCAGUAGCAAUGGAUGGCUGUGAGUUGGACUAUCAGAAAAACUGAGAACCACAUAAUUAAGACUUUGGAAUUGUGGUGUUGGAGAAAUCUUCUAAGAAGAGUAUCUUGGGAAACAAGGAGGUAAAUUCAGUAAAUAUUUAAAGAAAUUAAUUCAUACUAUUUAUUUGAAGGUCAAAUACUUAAACUUGUGAGAAGAUAGGAUUUAUUGGAAAAGGUCUGAGGCUGGGAAAUGAAAUUAAUUCCAUUAUUUAAGUAUCAGUGUGAAGAUUUAUUAGGAAGAUAUUGUACAUUUUCAGUAUCUUUUUCCCCCAAAGGAAAAUGUAUAUUAAAAGUACUACAUUAAGAGAAACUUAUUCUUAUUAUCAAGUAAUCAAUUUCAUUGUCAAACUAGUCACUAAGACUUGCCAUUAUUUUUUCUCAGGCACCAAAAUCAAUAAUCUUCAAAAAAUCAUGGAACCAGCUAGGUGGCUCAGUGAAUUAAUAGCUAGAGCUAGAGUCAGAAAGUCCUGGGUUCAAAUCUAGAAUCAGAUACUUCCAGCUAUAUGACCCUGGACAAGUCACUUAAUCCCUAGUACUCUUCUGCCUUGGAACCAAUACAUAGGCUUGAGUCAAAGAUAGAAGGCAUGGGAUUUUUAAAAGUCCUCUUUAUUCUGAGCUGCUAGGUGGUAAAAUAGAGCUCUGGAUGUAGUCAGGAAGACCUCAGUACAAAUCUAAUCUCAAGCACUUAUUUUCUGUGUGAUCCUGUGCAAGUCACUUUAUCUAUGUUUGACUCAGAUCCUCAACUCUAAAAUAAGGAUGAUAACAGCACCCACCUCCCAGAGUUGCUGUGAGGAUAAACUGAGGUAAAAUCAUUCCCUUAUGGCACAGAUACCUCCCCUCUGCUUUUCAGCUCUCUUUUGUAUAUUUUCUCCCAUAAGAUCAGGAACUCUUUGAGGAUAAGGACCGCUUUCCUUUGUGUGUGUGUGUGUGUGUGUGUGUGUGUGUGUGUGUGUGUGUGUGUGUGUGUGUGUGUGUGUGUGUAUCCCCAGCAUUUACCACAGUGCCUGAAACGCAGUAAUUGCUUGCCAUUUCUUUAUUGAAUUGAAUGGGAUUGAAGUAAUAUAGUUCUAUUCCCAUGUCCUGGACAGUCAAGCUUUGUAUGCUGGAGCAGGAGAUGCUCGAUUGCCCUGAGAAGAGUAACUAGCAUAUUUUUUGUGAUUACAUGAAGGCAACCUCUUUCUCACUAGACACUAAUGCUAGAAAUUCCUAACAAUCAGGAGUUUUUCAAAGGCAUAGAGAGAGUGAGUGAUAACAUGGUUACUUAAUUCAUGUUUAAUUUUCAAAUAAAGAAAUAUUCUAUCAGUGCA